CCUACGGGGAGCAGCAGUGAGGAAUAUUGGUCAAUGGCCGGGAGACUGAACCAGCCAAGCCGCGUGAGGGAUGAAGGUACAGAGUAUCGUAAACCUCUUUUGUCAGGGAACAAAGGCGGGGACGUGUCCCCGGAUGAGUGUACCUGAAGAAAAAGCAUCGGCUAACUCCGUGCCAGCAGCCGCGGUAAUACGGAGGCUGCGAGCGUUAUCCGGAUUUAUUGGGUUUAAAGGGUGCGCAGGCGGUCUGUUAAGUCAGCGGUAAAAGCCCGGGGCUCAACCCCGGCCCGCCGUUGAAACUGGCAGUCUCGAGUUGGAGAGAAGUAUGCGGAAUGCGCGGUGUAGCGGUGAAAUGCAUAGAUAUCGCGCAGAACUCCGAUUGCGAAGGCAGCAUGCCGGCUCCACACUGACGCUGAGGCACGAAAGCGUGGGUAUCGAACAGGAUUAGAUACCCGAGUAGUC
RNAcentral lists this ribosomal RNA (459 nucleotides) under uncultured bacterium. RNAcentral describes it as "partial 16S ribosomal RNA". It matches the Rfam family "Bacterial small subunit ribosomal RNA", at positions 338 to 795 of the family's 1533-position model. The record is from RNAcentral.